Molecule: ribosomal RNA, 497 nt
Filed under: uncultured bacterium
Lineage: Bacteria
Description: partial 16S ribosomal RNA
Rfam family: Bacterial small subunit ribosomal RNA
Source: RNAcentral
GAUGAACGCUGGCGGCGUGCCUAAUACAUGCAAGUCGAGCGAACAGACGAGGAGCUUACUCCUCUGACGUUAGCGGCGGACGGGUGAGUAACACGUGGAUAACCUACCUAUAAGACUGGGAUAACUUCGGGAAACCGGAGCUAAUACCGGAUAACAUGUUGAACCGCAUGGUUCAACAGUGAAAGACGGUCUUGCUGUCACUUAUAGAUGGAUCCGCGUCGCAUUAGCUAGUUGGUAAGGUAACGGCUUACCAAGGCAACGAUGCGUAGCCGACCUGAGAGGGUGAUCGGCCACACUGGAACUGAGACACGGUCCAGACUCCUACGGGAGGCAGCAGUAGGGAAUCUUCCGCAAUGGGCGAAGGCCUGACGGAGCAACGCCGCGUGAGUGAAGAAGGUCUUCGGAUCGUAAAACUCUGUUAUUAGGGAAGAACAAAUGUGUAAGUAACUAUGCACGUCUUGACGGUACCUAAUCAGAAAGCCACGGCUAACUACGUG